UGAGUAAGCCAGAUGAUCGCAGAUACUGCCUGAAAAGGCGUAGAUGAGGAAAGUCCGGGCUCCAUAGGGCAAUGGUGCCGGGUAACUCCCGGUGAAGGUGACUUUAAGGAAAGUGCAACAGAGAUAUACCGCCAUAUUAGGGUCUACCAUAUAUGGUAAGGGUGGAAAGGCGAGGUAAGAGCUCACCAGCGACUUGGCGACUUGUCGGCUAUGUAAACCCCACCUGGAGCAACACCGUGGAGGGACGCAAUGACUGCCCGUCAGUCCCGGGGAGGUGGCUUGAGCCAUGCAGAAAUGUAUGGCCUAGAUAGAUGAUCGUCUAAUACAGAACCCGGCUUAUAGACUUACUCGUAAU
Molecule: RNase P RNA, 355 nt
Filed under: Clostridium sp. BNL1100
Lineage: Bacteria; Bacillati; Bacillota; Clostridia; Eubacteriales; Clostridiaceae
Description: Bacterial RNase P class A
Rfam family: Bacterial RNase P class A
About the family: Ribonuclease P (RNase P) is a ubiquitous endoribonuclease, found in archaea, bacteria and eukarya as well as chloroplasts and mitochondria. Its best characterised activity is the generation of mature 5'-ends of tRNAs by cleaving the 5'-leader elements of precursor-tRNAs.
Source: RNAcentral